AUGCCGCCGUCACGGCCGCCACGUCGCCGCUGCGGCCGACGGCGGCGCUCGGCCACCGCAGCAGGGACGGAUCCCUCCGCAGGCGGGAGCAGAGGGUGGCUCGCCGCCCGCCGCAGGCCGUUCAAGCGGCCCGGGCCCGAGCACGGCGACCAGGCGCUGCCCCUGUGCGACGAGACCCUGCUCCUCGUCUUCUCCGCCCUCUCCGACGCCGGGGACCUCGUCCGCUGCGCGUCCACCUGCAGGCGCUGGCGCCGCCUCGUCUCCUCCGACGCCGCCUUCAUCUGCCGCCGCGGCCCCCCGCGCUGCGACCGCUUCGCCCGCCGCCUCGCGGUCGGCGUCUUCCUGCACGGCGCCCGCGGCCGCGGCCGCUCCCGCGGCGACGGCUUCGUGCCCUUCACCAAGCCCGAUCUCUCGAUCGCCGACGGCGGGGUGCCGGGCUCGUCGUCGCGCGUCGUCGCGUCCCGCAACGGCCGCGUCGUGAUGGACCUCCGCCGCGCCAAGAGCGCCUGCGUGCUGCGCCUCUGCGUGUGCGACCCCAUGACCGGCAACGCCGACCUGCUCCCGCCCCUGGCCGGCAAGGACCGCCCGGGCCCGUACGCGUGCGCCCUGCUCACCGCCGACGACGGGCUCCACCUCUACGACGCAUGCGCGGCCACGUCCCCGUCCCCGUCCUCGUACCGCGUGCUCCUCCUCUACAACCACCGCAGCUACACGGCGCUCCGUCGCUACUCCUCGGACGACGGCAGCUGGGGCCCGGAGGUGGAGGUGACCGGCGCCCGGAUCGCGAGGGGGCGGCAGCUGGGCGUCAGGGCGCACGCCACGCUGGUGCGGGGCGGCGCGGUCUGCUGGUACGGGCUCGGCAUCGCCGUCAACCCCGCCACGCUGCACACGUCCAGCUUUGGCUACACCGUGCAGGCCUUCGAGUCGCCGCCGCGCCGCGCCAAGGCCUCCCUCGGCGAGGUGGACCGGCUGCUGGGGCUGAUGCCGGACGGGCGGCUGUGCGUGCUGGAGUGCAAGGCCGACGCGGUGCGCGCCUACGUGGUCGUCUACGCCGACGCGGUGAGGAACGGCGGCGUGUCGGGGAGGAAGGAGUGGCGGUGGACGCUGAACGCGGAGCUGAUGGGCCUGCAGGCGGUGAGGCUGCGGUGGUUCUGCGAGCAGAGCGGCGUGGCGCUCUUCACGGCGAGGAACCGGGGCGGCAAGACGCAGGUGUACGCGGUGGACGUGGAGACGAUGCAGGUGGGCAGGGUGGACUGGUCGGGGGACGACGGCGACGGCGGCGACGGGGACAUGGACGUGUGUGGGUACGAGAUGGACCGGGUGGCCAUGCUCGCCGAGCUCGACCACUCCGCUGAGCUCCAUCCAGCUCCUCGGCAGCUCUGA
Molecule: ribosomal RNA, 1383 nt
Filed under: Triticum aestivum (bread wheat)
Lineage: Eukaryota; Viridiplantae; Streptophyta; Magnoliopsida; Poales; Poaceae
Description: partial small subunit ribosomal RNA
Source: RNAcentral